RNAcentral lists this ribosomal RNA (473 nucleotides) under uncultured bacterium. RNAcentral describes it as "partial 16S ribosomal RNA". It matches the Rfam family "Bacterial small subunit ribosomal RNA", at positions 28 to 507 of the family's 1533-position model. The record is from RNAcentral.
GAUAAACGCUGGCGGCGCACAUAAGACAUGCAAGUUGAACGGACUUAAUCGAAAUAUUUAUAUUUUGAAGCGGUUAGUGGCAGACUGGUGAGUAACGCGUAAGGAACCUGCCUAUUAGAGGGGAAUAACAGUGAGAAAUCAUUGCUAAUACCGCAUAUGCCAUAGAUAUCACAUGAUAACAGUGGGAAAGGAGCAAUCCGCUAAUAGAUGGCCUUGCGUCUGAUUAGAUAGUUGGUGGGGUAACGGCCUACCAAGUCGACGAUCAGUAGCCGGACUGAGAGGUUGAACGGCCACAUUGGGACUGAGAUACGGCCCAGACUCCUACGGGAGGCAGCAGUCGGGAAUAUUGCGCAAUGGAGGAAACUCUGACGCAGUGACGCCGCGUAUAGGAAGAAGGUUUUCGGAUUGUAAACUAUUGUCGUUAGGGAAGAGAAAGAACAGUACCUAAGGAGGAAGCUCCGGCUAACUACGUG